CCUACGGGAGGCUGCAGUGAGGAAUAUUGGUCAAUGGACGCAAGUCUGAACCAGCCAUGCCGCGUGCAGGAAGACGGCUCUAUGAGUUGUAAACUGCUUUUGUACGAGGGUAAACGCAGAUACGCGUAUCUGUCUGAAAGUAUCGUACGAAUAAGGAUCGGCUAACUCCGUGCCAGCAGCCGCGGUAAUACGGAGGAUUCAAGCGUUAUCCGGAUUUAUUGGGUUUAAAGGGUGCGUAGGCGGUCGGAUAAGUUAGAGGUGAAAUCCCGAGGCUCAACUUCGGAAUUGCCUCGGAUACUGUGCGGCUAGAGAGUAGUAGAGGUAGGCGGAAUGUAUGGUGUAGCGGUGAAAUGCGUAGAGAUCAGACAGAACACCGAUUGCGAAGGCAGCUUACCAAGCUACAUCUGACGUUGAGGCACGAAAGCGUGGGGAGCAAACAGGAUUAGAUACCCGAGUAGUC
RNAcentral lists this ribosomal RNA (460 nucleotides) under uncultured bacterium. Its description in RNAcentral is "partial 16S ribosomal RNA". It matches the Rfam family "Bacterial small subunit ribosomal RNA", at positions 338 to 795 of the family's 1533-position model. The record is from RNAcentral.